Molecule: non-coding RNA, 1733 nt
Organism: Zootermopsis nevadensis
Lineage: Eukaryota; Metazoa; Arthropoda; Insecta; Blattodea; Termopsidae
Source: RefSeq, a predicted model, not a curated record
ACUGACCCUAAGUUGUAAUUAAAAUCAUGCCAUGGAUUUUGAGAAUAGCUUGUGUUCUGUGAACAUACAACUUUCUCAAAGUCUUGUAUUUAAUUUGUAUAUUACCACUCUGCUGAAACUAAAGUUUAAAAAUAUAUUUUAUAAUAGUUUGCAAGCCAUUGUAACAUAUAUGUAUCAACUAAGCAUUGAAUUACAGCAAGAAGUGAAUUUAAAAUUUACCGAUAGCCUAGCAUGUUUCAACUUCCAGAAGUUUACCUUCAGGAGUGAUGUCCACUAAUUAUAACAGAGCAGGUUGAAGGAAGUGGGCACAGCUAACUGUUCCAGAACCACUCAGAACCAAAGCUUGGCACAGAGAAGACUCCCCAAUGUAUGAAGAUUCCAAACUUUGCAUCGUCAUACCACUGAGGUAAAGGCCUGGAGUCCAGACUCUCCCAUGUUGGAUUAUAUCUUAAGAUGCUGGCUUCUACAGAUUCAUAAUGUGAGGCAACAAUGGCUCCAAGCAGCACAGACAUACACCAUAAUGCAGCCAUCUCAGCCAGGAUUUCUUGUAUUCUGUAGGUUUCAGUCAAAUGUAAGUCAGUUCUGAUUAUCUACUUAUCUCUUUGUAAUUUUAGAUAAGUGCAAAAUAUGGGUUAAGUACAAGAUUCUCAUGCUGGAAAGUUACAUAUUAAAUUGAAUGUCAUCUUUAUUGUAAUAGGAAGAAACUGAGCUGCACCUUAUGAACUUUCCCACUACAAAUGUUAAUUUUCCACUAAUUCCUCCAGGUGAACAGACACCAGAAAGCUGAAGAGACUGUAAUUGGAACAAAUACCAUGGUGUAAUGAGUAGGCAUUCUGCUUCAUAUUUUGCAGAUUGCAGAUUCAAAUCUCAGCUCAUUUCCAUGCUAUUCUGAACAAGGUUUUUGUGGUUUUCUUCAAACUGUUAGGAUGCUAAGAAGGUACCUAAAAUAGGCUGUAGUCUUCUCUUUCCACACAUUUUUCAAAUUCAUUAUUCAUGAUAAUCAUAAUUACUCUCUAAAGGGGUGUGACAAUGGUUGAUUCAUUAUAGUUACUGGCAUUAUUAUAUUCUGCAUUAUCCACUGUUUGAGUACAUUUGAUUUACACUAGAUAGAUGUAGAUCCAUACCUUAGACCAUAAGAAGCAGGGUGUGGGGCAAGCCAUCAAAUUGAGAAAAUACAGAUACCAGAACUUUGUUUUUUUAUGAUGAAUCUAUUGAUUUCUUUUUAUUUUAGACUAGUGGCAGUGGUUGGUAUCAAGUCCAUACAUUUUGAUUAUUAUGAUUUUGACCACAGUGCAUCACAUAUUUCUUUCUUUCUAUGAUUUAAAGUGCAUUAAACUCACAUAUAACAGAAAUGCCAUAUAUUAAGUUUAAUGAAAGUUUGUCAAAGGAUGUAAGUCAUACUGUCAUGAGCUGCUUUUAGCCCUAAAGAGUAGUUUUUAAAACACUUAAAAGUGAAUGAAACUUUUGUAAAAACUAAAGUGACUCAUAUUGACAUUUAAUUAACACUGUAGUUUUUGUACGAAAAUGUACAGGUUAAAUUGGUGUCACUAAGUAUAUUCCAAAACCUUUAAAGUUCUUUGAGCCCUGCAUCUGUUGGCAUAAAGAUGAACAUUAAUGUUUAUAAAAUUGUGGUAACUGUCACAUGUCCAUUCAUUAUGUUUGCUCUCUGUAAGCAAGAUCUGUAAUGUAACUAGUUGCAGUGUUGAAAUAUUAAACAUAUCUUAAAUACAACA